UACCAGACUCCUACGGGAGGCAGCAGUGGGGAAUAUUGCACAAUGGGGGAAACCCUGAUGCAGCAACGCCGCGUGAGUGAAGAAGUAUUUCGGUAUGUAAAGCCCUAUCGGCAGGGAAGAAGCAAGACGGUACCUGACUAAGAAGCCCCGGCUAACUACGUGCCAGCAGCCGCGGUAAUACGUAGGGGGCGAGCGUUAUCCGGAUUCACUGGGUGUAAAGGGGGCGCAGACGGCGAUGCAAGCCAGGAGUGAAAGCCCGGGGCCCAACCCCGGGACUGCUCUUGGAACUGCGUGGCUAGAGUGCAGGAGGGGCAGGCGGAAUUCCUGGUGUAGCGGUGAAAUGCGUAGAUAUCAGGAGGAACACCGGCGGCGAAGGCGGCCUGCUGGACCGUGACUGACGUUGAGGCUCGAGAGCGUGGGGAGCAAACAGGAUUAGAUACCCGGGUAAU
This 449-nucleotide ribosomal RNA is filed under the name uncultured bacterium. RNAcentral describes it as "partial 16S ribosomal RNA". It matches the Rfam family "Bacterial small subunit ribosomal RNA", at positions 329 to 794 of the family's 1533-position model. The record is from RNAcentral.